CUGAUAAAUGGGCCCAAUAUACCCGGCCCAAAAUAGGAGAAAUAUCAUGACCCAACAUUACCCCCUAGUUUUUUAGUUAAACAGGAUGUUUAAUGGAAAACUAUAUAUGAUUCAUGAUAUUUAGAAUUCAAUAAAGGCCCAAGGAUAGGAAAUAAGUGAAUCAUACCCACUUUUAACAUACGAAGUGGAAUAAGGGAGGGUUGGAUAGUGGAUACCCAGAGCAAUAAGUCCAAUCUGAUAAAGGAU
RNAcentral lists this long non-coding RNA (246 nucleotides) under Panax ginseng (ginseng). Its description in RNAcentral is "long non-coding RNA (PGIN_LNC010477)". Lineage: Eukaryota; Viridiplantae; Streptophyta; Magnoliopsida; Apiales; Araliaceae. The record is from RNAcentral.